ACAGAGGUGGCAAGCGUUGUUCGGAAUUACUGGGCGUAAAGGGCGCGUAGGCGGCUCUCUAAGUCAGACGUGAAAUCCCCCGGCUUAACCUGGGAACUGCGUCUGAUACUGGGGGGCUUGAGUAUGGGAGAGGGAUGUAGAAUUCCAGGUGUAGCGGUGAAAUGCGUAGAUAUCUGGAGGAAUACCGGUGGCGAAGGCGGCAUCCUGGACCAUUACUGACGCUGAGGCGCGAAAGCUAGGGGAGCAAACGGG
Molecule: ribosomal RNA, 252 nt
Filed under: uncultured bacterium
Lineage: Bacteria
Description: partial 16S ribosomal RNA
Rfam family: Bacterial small subunit ribosomal RNA
Source: RNAcentral